RNAcentral lists this ribosomal RNA (406 nucleotides) under uncultured bacterium. RNAcentral's name for it is "partial 16S ribosomal RNA". It matches the Rfam family "Bacterial small subunit ribosomal RNA", at positions 29 to 526 of the family's 1533-position model. The record is from RNAcentral.
AUUGAACGCUGGCGGCAGGCCUAACACAUGCAAGUCGAGCGAGCGGCGGACGGGUGAGUAAUGAAUGGGGAUCUGCCCGAUAGAGGGGGACAACUAAGGGUAAGGGUGGCUAAUUAAGCAUACUAGCGGAUGAACCCAUAUGGGCAUGGCUAGUAGGUGGGGUAAAGGCUCACAUAGGCGACGAUCUCUAGCUGGUCUGAGAGGAUGAUAAGCCACACUGGGACUGAGACACGGCCAAGACGCCUACGGGAGGCAGCAGUGGGGAAUAUUGCACAAGGGGCGCAAGCCUGAUGCAGCCAUGCCGCGUGUAUGAAGAAGGCGUUAUGGAUGUAAAGUACUUUCAGCGGGGAGGCGUUACCCGCAGAGGAAGCACCGGCUAACUCCGGGCCAGCAGCCGCGGUAAUUC